UCCCUGAAGAGUGAGGUGGGCAUCAGAGUGGACGGAGACGCUGAAGAGGGACUUCAGGAGCCUGAUCAAGACGGUGCGCAGCAUAUCGCCUGCAUGAUGAUCAUCGUGUCAGGACCACUUCCCACGUAUAGAUGAGGACAUGAAAGGCUUUUUAGAUCUCCUGUUGGACAACAUCUCCAGGACACUUCGCUCCAUAUGACUAGGCAGUUUGUGAAAAGAGAUAAUCAAGAGAAGUCAGUUCCAGAUCCACCCUCCACACCAGACCUCUCUCUCACGAGGAUUGCUGUCUACUAGCAUAUUGUGUUCUUCAGCUCUUCAGACUUCGGUGGAUGCAGAUAUUACUCAGGGACAUGAACACUAGAAUAUUGCAAGAAUAGAGAAAGUAAGAAUUACUUAAGAUUUUAGAAUUUAAUGUUAAUUGCUUAAACAUAUACAGUAUUGUUCAAAAUAAUAGCAGUACAAUGUGACUAACCAGAAUAAUCAAGGUUUUUAGUAUAUUUUUUAUUGCUACGUGGCAAACAAGUUACCAGUAGGUUCAGUAGAUUGUCAGAAAACAAACAAGACCCAGCAUUCAUGAUAUGCACGCUCUUAAGGCUGUGCAAUUGGGCAAUUAGUUGAAAGGGGUGUGUUCAAAAAAAUAGCAGUGUCUACCUUUGACUGUACAAACUCAAAACUAUUUUGUACAAACAUUUUUUUUUUCUGGGAUUUAGCAAUCCUGUGAAUCACUAAACUAAUAUUUAGUUGUAUGACCACAGUUUUUUAAAACUGCUUGACAUCUGUGUGGCAUGGAGUCAACCAACUUGUGGCACCUCUCAGCUGUUAUUCCACUCCAUGAUUCUUUAACAACAUUCCACAAUUCAUUCACAUUUCUUGGUUUUGCUUCAGAAACAGCAUUUUUGAUAUCACCCCACAAGUUCUCAAUUGGAUUAAGGUCUGGAGAUUGGGCUGGCCACUCCAUAACAUUAAUUUUGUUGGUUUGGAACCAAGACUUUGCCCGUUUACUAGUGUGUUUUGGGUCAUUGUCUUGUUGAAACAACCAUUUCAAGGGCAUGUCCUCUUCAGCAUAGGGCAACAUGACCUCUUCAAGUAUUUUAACAUAUGCAAACUGAUCCAUGAUCCCUGGUAUGCGAUAAAUAGGCCCAACACCAUAGUAGGAGAAACAUGCCCAUAUCAUGAUGCUUGCACCUCCAUGCUUCACUGUCUUCACUGUGUACUGUGGCUUGAAUUCAGAGUUUGGGGGUCGUCUCACAAACUGCCUGUGGCCCUUGGACCCAAAAAGAACAAUUUUACUCUCAUCAGUCCACAAAAUGUUCCUCCAUUUCUCUUUAGGCCAGUUGAUGUGUUCUUUGGCAAAUUGUAACCUCUUCUGCACAUGCCUU
Long non-coding RNA from Carassius gibelio (silver crucian carp), 1379 nucleotides. RefSeq lists it as uncharacterized. The transcript is spliced from 3 exons. NCBI's taxonomy places the organism in Eukaryota, Metazoa, Chordata, Actinopteri, Cypriniformes, Cyprinidae. The record is from RefSeq and is a predicted model, not a curated record.